GAGAAAUUACCUUAAUUCUUUAGUGGGUACUAGAAUCCACACAGACUACAUAUAGGCCCGAGGAAGACUCGAUCAACCCAUAUGCACCUAUGUGUAGGUUCUCAAUCAAUUGAUUCUCCAAACAACUUCUAGUAUUUAAUUUAGCCCCAGAUUUUAUUUUAGUAGGUGAUGAGCCUCCACUGAAAGUUUUGAUUAGGUCAAACCAUUAAUAUGAACCUACUUAGUGAUUCUACCUAAUUAGUGAUCAGGCCCGAGGAUGGCUCGGUCAAUCCAUCCAUUAUCAGAUAGUUCAUCAGAGUCAUCAUAUGAUGAAUGAUAAUUUCAUCAUUCAGAGAGAACAUCAAAUGGAUAGCACCUGCAAUGUCAAUCAGAAAUAAUGGAUCCAUUAUCACUCACCUUAAUAGGAGGCUAUGAUCUAGUUAUGAUCAUAACCAGCUCAUUUUAAAGACCUAAUAAUUUAGAAGAUUUAAUCGAUUUAGAGAAGAGAAAAGAGAAGAAAAGAUCAAUCAGUAGAUCGUAAUCUUCCCACUAACUUCACCAAAUCACUGAAUCGGUUUAAGUCCUGCUGAUUGAACUAGCACC
RNAcentral lists this long non-coding RNA (582 nucleotides) under Elaeis guineensis (African oil palm). RNAcentral describes it as "long non-coding RNA (EGUI_LNC079481)". The record is from RNAcentral. Lineage: Eukaryota; Viridiplantae; Streptophyta; Magnoliopsida; Arecales; Arecaceae.